GAUUGAACGCUGGCGGCAUGCCUUACACAUGCAAGUCGAACGGCAGCACGGGUGCUUGCACCUGGUGGCGAGUGACGAACGGGUGAGUAAUACAUCGGAACAUGUCCUGUAGUGGGGGAUAGCCCGGCGAAAGCCGGAUUAAUACCGCAUACGAUCUACGGAUGAAAGCGGGGGACCUUCGGGCCUCGCGCUAUAGGGUUGGCCGAUGGCUGAUUAGCUAGUUGGUGGGGUAAAGGCCUACCAAGGCGACGAUCAGUAGCUGGUCUGAGAGGACGACCAGCCACACUGGGACUGAGACACGGCCCAGACUCCUACGGGAGGCAGCAGUGGGGAAUUUUGGACAAUGGGCGAAAGCCUGAUCCAGCAAUGCCGCGUGUGUGAAGAAGGCCUUCGGGUUGUAAAGCACUUUUGUCCGGAAAGAAAUCCUUGGCUCUAAUACAGUCGGGGGAUGACGGUACCGGAAGAAUAAGCACCGGCUAACUACGUGCCAGCAGCCGCGGUAAUACGUAGGGUGCGAGCGUUAAUCGGAAUUACUGGGCGUAAAGCGUGCGCAGGCGGUUUGCUAAGACCGAUGUGAAAUCCCCGGGCUCAACCUGGGAACUGCAUUGGUGACUGGCAGGCUAGGGUAUGGCAGAGGGGGGGUAGAAUUCCACGUGUAGCAGUGAAAUGCGUAGAGAUGUGGAGGAAUACCGAUGGCGAAGGCAGCCCCUGGGCCAAUACUGACGCUCAUGCACGAAAGCGUGGGGGAGCAAACAGGAUUAGAUACCCUGGUAGUCCACGCCCUAAACGAUGUCAACUAGUUGUUGGGGAUUCAUUUCCUUAGUAACGUAGCUAACGCGUGAAGUUGACCGCCUGGGGAGUACGGUCGCAAGAUUAAAACUCAAAGGAAUUGACGGGGACCCGCACAAGCGGUGGAUGAUGUGGAUUAAUUCGAUGCAACGCGAAAAACCUUACCUACCCUUGACAUGGUCGGAAUCCCGCUGAGAGGUGGGAGUGCUCGAAAGAGAACCGGCGCACAGGUGCUGCAUGGCUGUCGUCAGCUCGUGUCGUGAGAUGUUGGGUUAAGUCCCGCAACGAGCGCAACCCUUGUCCUUAGUUGCUACGCAAGAGCACUCUAAGGAGACUGCCGGUGACAAACCGGAGGAAGGUGGGGAUGACGUCAAGUCCUCAUGGCCCUUAUGGGUAGGGCUUCACACGUCAUACAAUGGUCGGAACAGAGGGUUGCCAACCCGCGAGGGGGAGCUAAUCCCAGAAAACCGAUCGUAGUCCGGAUUGCACUCUGCAACUCGAGUGCAUGAAGCUGGAAUCGCUAGUAAUCGCGGAUCAGCAUGCCGCGGUGAAUACGUUCCCGGGUCUUGUACUCACCGCCC
This 1370-nucleotide ribosomal RNA is filed under the name uncultured beta proteobacterium. RNAcentral's name for it is "bacterial SSU rRNA". It matches the Rfam family "Bacterial small subunit ribosomal RNA", at positions 27 to 1395 of the family's 1533-position model. Lineage: Bacteria; Pseudomonadati; Pseudomonadota; Betaproteobacteria. The record is from RNAcentral.